AUGCACUCCGGGAACAAGAAAGAGCAUCUCAAUCAUGAGAGCACAAAUGAAAGACAGGGGCAUCAAGAUGAAGUCACAGACCCAGGUCUUCAUAUUCCUUCUGGUGCUCAUGGGGACAUUGUAAUGUCCCAGUCUCCUGAAUCCCUGCCUGCAUCAGUAGGAGAUAGAGUUACCAUAACCUGCAAGGCCAGUCAGAGUGUGAGUACUAAUGUAGCCUGGUACCAAAAGAAACCAGAACAGUCUCCUAAACUGCUGAUCUACUAUGCAUCCAGUCGGGAAUCUGGGGUCCCUGAUCACUUCACAGGCAGUGGAUCUGGGACAGACUUCACUCUCACCAUCAGCAGUGUGCAGGCUGAAGACAUGGUUGUUUAUUUCUGUCAGCAGCAUUAUAGCACUCCUCCCACAGUGCUUCAGCCUCCUACACAAACCUCCUUGAGAGUCCCACCAGCUGCCUGUCCCACAUACAGCUGCGGCUUUGCACACUUCUCUGCCUGA
Mastomys coucha (southern multimammate mouse) is the source of this 495-nucleotide non-coding RNA. NCBI's taxonomy places the organism in Eukaryota, Metazoa, Chordata, Mammalia, Rodentia, Muridae. The record is from the annotation of a RefSeq genome assembly.